RNAcentral lists this ribosomal RNA (406 nucleotides) under uncultured bacterium. RNAcentral describes it as "partial 16S ribosomal RNA". It matches the Rfam family "Bacterial small subunit ribosomal RNA", at positions 30 to 526 of the family's 1533-position model. The record is from RNAcentral.
AUUGAACGCUGGCGGCAGGCCUAACACAUGCAAGUCGAACGAGUGGCGGACGGGUGAGGAAUGUCUGGGAAACUGCUCGUUGGAGGGGGCUAACUGCUGGAAACGGUAGCUAAUACCCCAUACCAUCUGCUCUGCCCAGAUGGGAUUAGCUGGUGGGUGGGGUAACGGCUCACCAAGGGGACGAUCCCUAGCUGGUCUGAGAGGAUGACCAGCCACACUGGAACUGAGACACGGUCCAGACUCCUACGGGAGGCAGCAGUGGGGAAUAUUGCACAAUGGGCGAAAGCCGGAUGCAGCCAUGCCGCGUGUAUGAAGAAGGCCUUCGGGUUGUAAAGUACUUUCAGCGAGGAGGCGUGACUCGCAGAAGAAGCACCGGCUAACUCCGUGCCAGCAGCCGCGGUAAUAC